AUACUUACCUGGCAGGGGAGACACCAUGAUCAUGCAGGUGGUUUUCCCAGGGCGAGGCUCAUCCCCUGCACUCCGGGUGUGCUGACCCCUGCGAUUUCCCCAACCAAACAUUUUAUUAUGUCAAAGAUAAAAAUAAAUUCUACUGCUUUUC
Molecule: small nuclear RNA, 151 nt
Filed under: Gavia stellata (red-throated loon)
Lineage: Eukaryota; Metazoa; Chordata; Aves; Gaviiformes; Gaviidae
Description: U1 spliceosomal RNA
Rfam family: U1 spliceosomal RNA
About the family: U1 is a small nuclear RNA (snRNA) component of the spliceosome (involved in pre-mRNA splicing). Its 5' end forms complementary base pairs with the 5' splice junction, thus defining the 5' donor site of an intron. There are significant differences in sequence and secondary structure between metazoan and yeast U1 snRNAs, the latter being much longer (568 nucleotides as compared to 164 nucleotides in human).
Source: Rfam by way of RNAcentral